Molecule: transfer RNA, 77 nt
Filed under: Candidatus Minimicrobia naudis
Lineage: Bacteria; Candidatus Saccharimonadota
Description: Candidatus Saccharibacteria bacterium IHU1 tRNA-Arg
Rfam family: tRNA
About the family: Transfer RNA (tRNA) molecules are approximately 80 nucleotides in length. Their secondary structure includes four short double-helical elements and three loops (D, anti-codon, and T loops).
Source: RNAcentral
GCCCUGAUAGCUCAGUUGGAUAGAGCAGAGGACUUCUAAGUCUAAGGUCGUAGGUUUGAAUCCUACUCGGGGCGCCA